CGGGUGAGUAACGCGUGGAUAACCUGCCUCACACUGGGGGAUAACAGUUAGAAAUGACUGCUAAUACCGCAUAAGCGCACAGUACCGCAUGGUACAGUGUGAAAAACUCCGGUGGUGUGAGAUGGAUCCGCGCCUGAUUAGCCAGUUGGCGGGGUAACGGCCCACCAAAGCGACGAUCAGUAGCCGACCUGAGAGGGUGACCGGCCACAUUGGGACUGAGACACGGCCCAA
RNAcentral lists this ribosomal RNA (231 nucleotides) under uncultured bacterium. Its description in RNAcentral is "partial 16S ribosomal RNA". It matches the Rfam family "Bacterial small subunit ribosomal RNA", at positions 103 to 334 of the family's 1533-position model. The record is from RNAcentral.